CUGGGUGUGGCGCAGCUGGGAGCGCGCUACCUUGGGGUGGUAGAGGCCGCAAGUUCAAGUCUUGUCACUCAGACCA
Molecule: transfer RNA, 76 nt
Filed under: Oscillospiraceae bacterium
Lineage: Bacteria; Bacillati; Bacillota; Clostridia; Eubacteriales; Oscillospiraceae
Description: tRNA-Pro
Rfam family: tRNA
About the family: Transfer RNA (tRNA) molecules are approximately 80 nucleotides in length. Their secondary structure includes four short double-helical elements and three loops (D, anti-codon, and T loops).
Source: RNAcentral